RNAcentral lists this antisense RNA (75 nucleotides) under Actinoplanes sp. SE50/110. RNAcentral describes it as "ASpks TB sRNA". It matches the Rfam family "ASpks TB sRNA". Lineage: Bacteria; Bacillati; Actinomycetota; Actinomycetes; Micromonosporales; Micromonosporaceae. The record is from Rfam by way of RNAcentral.
CUUGAUCGAGCCGAGGCGCACCGGCCGGUCCGCGGGACGGUCCCGGCCGUACGUGGCGAGCAGCGCGUUCGCCUC